GGGCGGGAUCUUAUGGGGUCGUGGUCUUUCAGGGGCGGGGCCAGGUGGCUGGGCUCUGUUCCCAUCAGGCGGGCCGCGCGACCUCGGCACCCAGAUGGAGCCCGGAGGGAGGGGCGCAGAGCCUUAGAGCCUCAAGCUCCGACCUGGUGCCGACCUUAGGAGCUCUGCGAGUCCCGAACCAGAUCUAGAAGAGUGAGGCCUGUUGACAGCACACAGAGCUCAGACCCUGCACUCUCUGCCUCCAAGAGGUCCAUGAGUCACAAGAUGGAGAGGACUUUGCCAGCCAACCCUGGUACCACGGUCCCCUGUCCCACCAGGGUUUUGGAGAAUGUCAGCGACAGAAGACAGAACCUGUAGGACCGUGCAGGAGGGUCUCGUGGUCCGCGUCUGGCCGUUUCCCACAGUCCUCCUACCCUCAUCCUAUUGACCAGAUCCUAUCAUGUGAUGACUCGACCGCAAGGGAGCCUGGGAAAUGUAGUCCAGAGGUGCAUCCAUAGGAAACGGGGGAAUAGUGUGGUGCAAAACUACCCAGUCUCUAGGGUGGUUUUUCUCGGGUGGAGAUUCAUGGAAUCACAAUUAACUGCUAAUCUGGGCUCAGGCCUAACCCCCCACCCCUUGUCCUCCAUCCCCAAAAGGCUGAGGAAGCCAAAUGACAGUCACUGCAGGCUUGGGACAUAUGGGGCAGUUUAACAGACCACUGUGGACCAGGUGAGGGUCUACAAGGGCAGCACAUGACUCAGGGAUUGCCACUUACUGCUUGAUCGAUCUCGUGCAGGAGACUUAACCUUUCGGAAAAUGGGGAUGAUAAUGCUUUUAAAGUUUUCAUGGUGGUGAAAAAAUACACAGGAACUUUGUAGGUGCUUUUUAAAAGGUGGGUUUACUAUAAUCCAUGAAAUCUUAUGUGUUCUGACCAUGGCUGACCUCUCUAAUAAUUCCUGCCACAUUCCUUUCUUACUCGUCACAGGGUCUUCCUUCCAGUUGCUGGAACCUUCCAAAUCUGUUCCUGCCUCAGGGCCUUGGCACUUGCUGUUCUUGCCAUUGGAAAACUCAUUUCCUAAUCUGUUCUUAACUGGCUGCUUGUCAUCCAAUGUAAGUUAAUCACAGCAGCUGACCCUGAGCAUCCUAGGAAAAGAGGCCACCGCCUCAUGCCCUGUCUGCCCCAUCUGCCUCCCUAUCUACCCCCAUUCAGCCAGAGCCCUCCCUGUAACUAAGUGCUGAGACACAUCCAUGAACAAGAAACACAAAAAUCCCUGCCUGAGUGAGACAACAUCCUAUUAGAGGAAGAUGGACUGUGAACAACAAAAAUAUGCCCAUCAUGUAUGCUUUGGGUGAAAAUUAAAACUAGAACAGAG
This is a long non-coding RNA of Manis pentadactyla (Chinese pangolin), 1352 nucleotides long. RefSeq lists it as uncharacterized. NCBI's taxonomy places the organism in Eukaryota, Metazoa, Chordata, Mammalia, Pholidota, Manidae. The record is from RefSeq and is a predicted model, not a curated record. The transcript is spliced from 3 exons.